This 255-nucleotide ribosomal RNA is filed under the name uncultured bacterium. RNAcentral's name for it is "partial 16S ribosomal RNA". It matches the Rfam family "Bacterial small subunit ribosomal RNA", at positions 524 to 776 of the family's 1533-position model. The record is from RNAcentral.
GACGAACCGUGCAAACGUUAUUCGGAAUCAUUGGGCUUAAAGCGCACGUCGGCGGCCGGCAAAGUGGAGGGUGAAACGCCAACGGCUCAACCGUGGUUCGUGCCUUCCAAACUCGCCGGCUUGAGCAAGAUAGGGGCCGGUGGAACUUCCAGUGGAGCGGUGAAAUGUGUUGAGAUUGGAAGGAACGCCAGUGGCGAAAGCGACCGGCUGGGUCUUGGCUGACGCUCAGGUGCGAAAGCCAGGGGAGCAAACGGG